UACGAAGGGGGCUAGCGUUGUUCGGAUUUACUGGGCGUAAAGGGCGCGUAGGCGGCGCGGUAAGUCACUUGUGAAAUCUCUGAGCUUAACUCAGAACGGCCAAGUGAUACUGCAGUGCUAGAGUGUGGAAGGGGCAAUCGGAAUUCUUGGUGUAGCGGUGAAAUGCGUAGAUAUCAAGAGGAACACCGGAGGUGAAGACGGGUUGCUGGGCCAACACUGACGCUGAGGCGCGAAAGCCAGGGGAGCAAACGGG
Molecule: ribosomal RNA, 253 nt
Filed under: uncultured bacterium
Lineage: Bacteria
Description: partial 16S ribosomal RNA
Rfam family: Bacterial small subunit ribosomal RNA
Source: RNAcentral